GUGUCAGCAGCCGCGGUAAUACCGGCAGCCCGAGUGAUGGCCGAUCUUAUUGGGCCUAAAGCGUGGGUAGCUGGCUGAACAAGUCCGUUGGGAAAUCUGUCCGCUUAACGGGCAGGCGUCCAGCGGAAACUGUUCAGCUUGGGACCGGAAGACCUGAGGGGUACGUCUGGGGUAGGAGUGAAAUCCUGUAAUCCUGGUCGGACCGCCGGUGGCGAAAGCGCCUCAGGAGAACGGAUCCGACAGUGAGGGACGAAAGCUUGGGUCUCCAACCGGAUUAGAAACCCCCGUAGUCC
This 293-nucleotide ribosomal RNA is filed under the name uncultured prokaryote. RNAcentral describes it as "partial 16S ribosomal RNA". It matches the Rfam family "Archaeal small subunit ribosomal RNA", at positions 455 to 747 of the family's 1478-position model. The record is from RNAcentral.